Cyprinus carpio (common carp) is the source of this 222-nucleotide long non-coding RNA. The record is from Ensembl. NCBI's taxonomy places the organism in Eukaryota, Metazoa, Chordata, Actinopteri, Cypriniformes, Cyprinidae.
AAGAUUGUGACAAGGAGUUAUUCUUGUUGACCAGGCUAACGCACCUGCUGGCUGCUGGUCUCUGGAUGGUGUUGGUCUUUGUUUGAGUGACUAAAGACAGGCAGAGCCAGCUCAGAGCAGGACGAGCUCCUGAGGAACAUGUGCUUUGAGACAGCGCCGAGCGGCUUUGUCCUCAUCUCUCCGGUUCUCUUAAACAGCUGCUAUCAGCCACAGAAAGCGUGA